This 1468-nucleotide ribosomal RNA is filed under the name uncultured Bordetella sp. Its description in RNAcentral is "partial 16S-23S ribosomal RNA intergenic spacer". It matches the Rfam family "Bacterial small subunit ribosomal RNA". Lineage: Bacteria; Pseudomonadati; Pseudomonadota; Betaproteobacteria; Burkholderiales; Alcaligenaceae. The record is from RNAcentral.
AGUUCGAUCAUGGCUCAGAUUGAACGCUGGCGGGAUGCUUUACAUACAGUCGAACGGCAGCACGGACUUCAGGGUCUGGUGGCGAGUGGCAGACAGGGUGAGUAAUGUAUCCGGAACGUGCCCUGAAAUGGCGGGGGAUAACUACGCGAAAGCGUAGCUAAUACCGCAUACGCCCUUCGGGGGAAAGCGGGGACCUUCGGGCCUCGCACUAUUAGGAAAGCGGCCGAUAUCGGAUUAGCUAGUUGGUGGGGUAACGGCUCACCAAGGCGACGAUCCGUAGCUGGUUUGAGAGGACGACCAGCCACAGGACUGAGACGGCUGAACUCCUACGGGGAGGCAGCAGUGGGAAUUUUGGACAAUGGGAAACCCUGAUCCAGCCAUCCCGCGUGUGCGAUGAAGGCCUUCGGGUUGUAAAGCACUUUUGGCAGAAGAAACGGCCUGGGAUAAUGCCCGUGCAACUGACAGUACCUGCAGAAUAAGCACACCGGCUAACUACGUGCCAGCCGCGGUAAUACGUAGGGUGCAGGCGUUAAUCGGAAUUGCAGGGCGUAAAGCGUGCGCAGGCGGUUCGGAAAAGAAAGAUGUGAAAUCCCAGAGCUUAACUUUGGAACUGCAUUUUUAACUACCGAGCUAGAGUGUGUCAGAGGAGGUGGAAUUCCGCGAUGUAGCGAUGCAGUAAGUGUGCGGGAGGGCACCGAUGGCGAAGGCAGCCUCCUGGGAUAACGCUGACUCAUUGCACGCGUGGGAGCAAGCAGGAUUAGAUACCCUGGUAGUCCACGCCCUAAACGAUGUCAACUAGCUGUUAGGGCCUUCGGGCUUGCUUGAAGUAUGCAGCAACGCGUGAGAUUGACCGCCACAAGGGAGUACGGUCGCAAGAUUAAAACUCAAAAUUGACGAGGACCCGCACAAGCGGUGGAUGAUGUGGUUAAUUCGAUGCAACGCGAAAAACCUUACCUACCCUUGACAUGUCAUAGGUCGAAGAGAUUUGGGAGUGCUCGCAAAGAGAACCCGGAGCACAAGGUGCUGCAUGGCUGUCGUCGACUCGUGUCGUGAGAUGUUGGAUUAAGUCCCGCAGCGAGCGCAACACGCCUUGUCAUUAGUUGCUACGAAAGGGCACUCUAAUGAGACUGCCGGUGACAAACCGGAGGAAGGUGGGGACAGCGCGUCAGUCCUCAUGGCCCGCAUGGGUAGGGCUUCACACGUCAUACAAUGGUCAGGACAGAGGGUCGCCAACCCGCGAGGAGUAAUCCCAGAAACCCGAUCGUAGUCCGGAUCGCAGUCUGCAACUCGACUGCGUGGAAGUCGGAAUCGCUAGUAAUCGCGAAUCCACAGCAUGUCGCGGUGAAUACGUUCCCGGGUCUUGUUCCGCCCGUCACACCAUGGGAGUGGGUUUACCAGAAGUAGUUAGCCUAACCGUAAGGGCGAUUACAGUAGGAUUCAUGACUGGGGUGAAGUCGUAACAAGGUAA